This 456-nucleotide ribosomal RNA is filed under the name uncultured bacterium. RNAcentral's name for it is "bacterial SSU rRNA". It matches the Rfam family "Bacterial small subunit ribosomal RNA", at positions 28 to 507 of the family's 1533-position model. The record is from RNAcentral.
GAUGAACGCUGGCGGCGUGCUUAACACAUGCAAGUCGAACGGACUGUACUUCGGUACAGUUAGUGGCGGACGGGUGAGUAACGCGUGGGUAACCUGCCUCGUACAGGGGGAUAACAGUUAGAAAUGACUGCUAAUACCGCAUAACCCACUAAGGUCGCAUGACCUAGACGGAAAAGAUUUAUCGGUACGAGAUGGACCCGCGUCUGAUUAGCUAGUUGGUGAGGUAACGGCUCACCAAGGCGACGAUCAGUAGCCGGCCUGAGAGGGUGACCGGCCACAUUGGGACUGAGACACGGCCCAAACUCCUACGGGAGGCAGCAGUGGGGAAUAUUGCACAAUGGGGGAAACCCUGAUGCAGCAACGCCGCGUGAGUGAAGAAGUAUUUCGGUAUGUAAAGCUCUAUCAGCAGGGAAGAAAAUGACGGUACCUGACUAAGAAGCCCCGGCUAACUACGUG